This 1063-nucleotide long non-coding RNA is filed under the name Amborella trichopoda. Its description in RNAcentral is "long non-coding RNA (ATRI_LNC004834)". The record is from RNAcentral. Lineage: Eukaryota; Viridiplantae; Streptophyta; Magnoliopsida; Amborellales; Amborellaceae.
UUUAUACUGAUGCAUAUAACCAAACAAAACAUUAGCUAUUUGCUUUAUAUACAGUUAUUAGUUUGUAAAAAAUACAUUGAUAUGUAUGUGUGAUGUCUGUAUGUAUACGAUGUGAAUAUACUGAUAUGUGUGUAUGUGUAUGUGCAAAGUGCAUAACUGUAUAUAUACAAUGCAUCAAUAUAUACAUUUUUAUAUACAUUGACAUAUAUGACGAUAUAUACAUUACUUUUCAGUUUAUACUGUUAGUAACGUAUAUGUAUACUGAUUUAUAUGCUACACACACACUCACACUCACACUCUCCUUUACACUUACACUCACACACUCACUCACAUACACACGCACACACUCACACACACUCACUCACAUACACACACACACACACUGACACUGACACUGACACUGACACUGACACUCACACUCACUUGCACUCACACUCACACUCACACUCACACUCACACUCACACUCGCACUCACACUCACUCACACACACUCACACUCACACUCACAGAUAUGUAUAUUACACAUAUAUGCAUGUUGUGUAUGGACUGAUGUGUGCAUAUAUACGAUAUGUAUAUACGAAUAUGUUUAUACCUUUUUUUGCGAUCUUGAUCUUGAAAACUUGAUUUGCUUAAUGGUUCUUUCUUCUUUAAUAUAAUACUUCUUCUUUCAUGUAAAUAAGAAGUGAAUUUUCUGGAGCUUUACUUGUGGUUUGCAAGUUUAUUAUGUAACUUUUCUUGACACACACACUCUUGCUUCUUUUAUGCAAAUAUGGAGUGAAUUUUUGGGUUUACUUGUUGUUUCCAAUUUCAUUAAGUAACUUUUUCUUAACACACACGCACACACACACACACUCACACUCACACUCACACUCACACACACUCACACGUGCACACACACACUUACACUCACACACACUCACGCUCACACUCACACUCACUCACACACUGUCACAGUCACGGUCACAGUCAGAGUCACACACACUCGCACACUCACACAUUCGCACACACACGCACACACUCACACACACACUCACACUCAACUCACACUCACACUCACACUCAC